AGACGGGACCCGCACAAGCGGUGGAUGAUGUGGAUUAAUUCGAUGCAACGCGAAAACCUUACCUACCUUGACAUGUCCGGAAUCCUGCAGAGAUGCGGGAGUGCCGAAAGGGAAUCGGAACACAGGUGCUGCAUGGCUGUCGUCAGCUCGUGUCGUGAGAUGUUGGGUUAAGUCCCGCAACGAGCGCAACCCUUGUCAUUAGUUGCCAUCAUUUGGUUGGGCACUCUAAUGAGACUGCCGGUGACAAACCGGAGGAAGGUGGGGAUGACGUCAAGUCCUCAUGGCCCUUAUGGGUAGGGCUUCACACGUCAUACAAUGGUCGGUACAGAGGGUUGCCAACCCGCGAGGGGGAGCUAAUCCCACAAAGCCGAUCGUAGUCCGGAUCGCAGUCUGCAACUCGACUGCGUGAAGUCGGAAUCGCUAGUAAUCGUGGAUCAGCAUGUCACGGUGAAUACGUUCCCGGGCCUU
RNAcentral lists this ribosomal RNA (468 nucleotides) under uncultured Rhodocyclaceae bacterium. RNAcentral describes it as "bacterial SSU rRNA". It matches the Rfam family "Bacterial small subunit ribosomal RNA", at positions 916 to 1381 of the family's 1533-position model. The record is from RNAcentral. Lineage: Bacteria; Pseudomonadati; Pseudomonadota; Betaproteobacteria; Rhodocyclales; Rhodocyclaceae.